RNAcentral lists this transfer RNA (73 nucleotides) under Dactylococcopsis salina PCC 8305. RNAcentral describes it as "tRNA-Trp (CCA) (tRNA-Trp-CCA-1-1)". It matches the Rfam family "tRNA". Rfam says of the family: Transfer RNA (tRNA) molecules are approximately 80 nucleotides in length. The record is from Rfam by way of RNAcentral. Lineage: Bacteria; Bacillati; Cyanobacteriota; Cyanophyceae; Nodosilineales; Cymatolegaceae. RNAcentral also lists the same sequence under 1 other name.
GCGUCCUUAGUUCAGUUGGUAGAACGUCGGUCUCCAAAACCGAAUGCCGGGGGUUCGAGUCCUCCAGGGCGCG